RNAcentral lists this unclassified non-coding RNA (339 nucleotides) under uncultured fungus. RNAcentral describes it as "partial contains small subunit ribosomal RNA, internal transcribed spacer 1, and 5.8S ribosomal RNA". The stretch from base 1 to 73 matches the Rfam family "Eukaryotic small subunit ribosomal RNA", at positions 1759 to 1831 of the family's 1831-position model. The record is from RNAcentral. Lineage: Eukaryota; Fungi.
ACAAACUUGGUCAUUUAGAGGAAGUAAAAGUCGUAACAAGGUUUCCGUAGGUGAACCUGCGGAAGGAUCAUUAUCGAGUUUUUGAACGGGUUGUAGCUGGUCUCUCUCGGGACAUGUGCACGCCUGGCUCAAUCCACUCUUCAAACCAUUGUGCACUUAUUGUAGGUCGGUUGAAAGGCUUCUUGGGCUCAGUAAAAUGAAUUCAAGAUGCUGGAAGGCCUUCCUAUGUUUUUACUACAAACGCUUCAGUCAUAGAAUGUCAUUUACUUGCGUAUAACGCAUCUAUAUACAACUUUCAGCAACGGAUCUCUUGGCUCUCGCAUCGAUGAAGAACGCAGC